Molecule: long non-coding RNA, 577 nt
Organism: Mercenaria mercenaria
Lineage: Eukaryota; Metazoa; Mollusca; Bivalvia; Venerida; Veneridae
Exons: 3
Source: RefSeq, a predicted model, not a curated record
CUUUAAAUUUUAUUCAGUAAAGAGUAAACAGGAUAAAAGUGUCUUUAUUUUUUUUAAGAAAGUUGAAAAAAAUGCCCAGCUUUCCAUACGUGGCUUUGAUGUAAAUAAGUACUGGUGAGAAACCCAAGAAAAAAAAACAAUGUGGCUAUUUACUUUAUUGUAUCAAUAGGAAAAAAAAGUUAGUUGAUGGAACAAUAGUGGCAGUAGAACUACCUUGCUUGUACCCUAACGAAGCCGGUCACCUGAUGUGCAUUGAAGCCCUAUCGAACCCUUGCGUUUACAUGGUAAUCAGCCGUUAUCAACAAGGCAAGAUAGUGCAUGGUUAUAGUGGAAUUCAAGCCUUGGUGGACCUUUCUUCUGUAUUUGUCCCGUCUUGUUGAUGGUAGACAGCUGUUCCACACCUCGUACACAACAGAGAAACCCCCUCGGACGAAGACUUCGUUCAGAUCUAAAAGGCAAGGAGACAGUGUUUGCCAUUAUUGAAAGACAAAGGAAAAGAAGCAAUGACAGAAAACAAAUAUCACCAUACCGUCUUGUCUUUAAUGUUUCCAACAGCUGACAGUCCGAUAUAAGCCAG